This 253-nucleotide ribosomal RNA is filed under the name uncultured bacterium. RNAcentral's name for it is "partial 16S ribosomal RNA". It matches the Rfam family "Bacterial small subunit ribosomal RNA", at positions 524 to 776 of the family's 1533-position model. The record is from RNAcentral.
UACGUAGGGUGCAAGCGUUGUCCGGAAUUAUUGGGCGUAAAGAGCUCGUAGGCGGCUUGUUGCGUCGACCGUGAAAACCCGUGGCUUAACUGCGGGCUUGCGGUCGAUACGGGCGGGCUGGAGUUCGGUAGGGGAGACUGGAAUUCCCGGUGUAGUGGUGAAAUGCGUAGAUAUCGGGAGGAACACCAGUGGCGAAGGCGACUACCUGGCCUGUUCUUGACGCUGAGGCGCGAAAGCUGGGGGAGCAAACGGG